Molecule: ribosomal RNA, 459 nt
Filed under: uncultured bacterium
Lineage: Bacteria
Description: partial 16S ribosomal RNA
Rfam family: Bacterial small subunit ribosomal RNA
Source: RNAcentral
CCUACGGGAGGCAGCAGUGAGGAAUAUUGGUCAAUGGCCGGAAGGCUGAACCAGCCAAGCCGCGUGAAGGACGAAGGUGCCAAGCAUUGUAAACUUCUUUUGUCAAGGGACAAAAUCAGGCUCGAGAGCCUGACCGAGGGUACUUGAAGAAAAAGCAUCGGCAAACUCCGUUCCAGCAGCCGCGGUAAUACGGAGGAUGCGAGCGUUAUCCGGAUUUAUUGGGUUAAAAGGGUGCGUAGGCGGACUGUUAAGUCAGCGGUAAAAGCCCGGGGCUCAACCCCGGCGAGCCGUUGAAACUGGCGGUCUUGAGAUGUCGAGAGGUAUGCGGAAUGCGCAGUGUAGCGGUGAAAUGCUUAGAUAUUGCGCAGAACUCCGAUGGCGAAGGCAGCAUACCGGCGGCGAUCUGACGCUGAGGCACGAAAGCGUGGGUAUCGAACAGGAUUAGAUACCCUUGUAGUC